UACGGGAGGCAGCAGUGGGGAAUAUUGCACAAUGGGCGCAAGCCUGAUGCAGCCAUGCCGCGUGUAUGAAGAAGGCCUUCGGGUUGUAAAGUACUUUCAGUCGUGAGGAAGGUGUUAAGGUUAAUAACCUUAGCAAUUGACGUUAGCGACAGAAGAAGCACCGGCUAACUCCGUGCCAGCAGCCGCGGUAAUACGGAGGGUGCGAGCGUUAAUCGGAAUUACUGGGCGUAAAGGGCACGCAGGCGGUUAAUUAAGUUGGAUGUGAAAUCCCCGGGCUUAACCUGGGAAUGGCAUUCAAGACUGGUUAGCUAGAGUCUUGUAGAGGGGGUAGAAUUCCAUGUGUAGCGGUGAAAUGCGUAGAGAUGUGGAGGAAUACCGGUGGCGAAGGCGGCCCCUGGGACAAAGACUGACGCUCAUGUGCGAAAGCGUGGGGAGCAAACGAGGGAUUAGAU
RNAcentral lists this ribosomal RNA (452 nucleotides) under uncultured bacterium. RNAcentral describes it as "bacterial SSU rRNA". It matches the Rfam family "Bacterial small subunit ribosomal RNA", at positions 340 to 783 of the family's 1533-position model. The record is from RNAcentral.